This 104-nucleotide small RNA is filed under the name Flavobacterium endophyticum. RNAcentral describes it as "Flavo-1 RNA". It matches the Rfam family "Flavo-1 RNA". The record is from RNAcentral. Lineage: Bacteria; Pseudomonadati; Bacteroidota; Flavobacteriia; Flavobacteriales; Flavobacteriaceae.
CGCUGGACCGCGUGAGUGAUUGCAGCGAAAAUCCUUUUGUCCAUUAGAUUGCAAGGCAACGAAGCAAUCUUGACAAAAGAUUGUAGCGAAAAGCACGACCGCAG